CCUGUAACUGUUCGUUCCCUUUUGUAAAUAAUUAAGGGGCCGAACAAUUCCAGACG
RNAcentral lists this non-coding RNA (56 nucleotides) under Spodoptera frugiperda (fall armyworm). The record is from RNAcentral. Lineage: Eukaryota; Metazoa; Arthropoda; Insecta; Lepidoptera; Noctuidae.